GCCGGGUAUGGGGGUGUGUGCCUGCAGUUCCAGCUACUUGGAAGGCUGAGGUGGAAGGAUUGCCUGAGCCCAGCAGGUCGAGGCUGAGGUAGCCAUGAGCAUGCUACUGCACUCCAGCCUGGACAACAGAGUGAGACUCCAACUCAAAAAAAAAAAAAAAAAAAAGAUACUGUCUACAGACCUCUUUUUUUUUUUUGAGUUGGAGUCCCACUCUGGUGUCCAGGCUGGAGGGCAGGAGCAUGGUCAUGGCUACCUCAGCCUCGACCUGGUGGGCUCAGGCAAUCCUUUCACCUCA
RNAcentral lists this small RNA (295 nucleotides) under Carlito syrichta (Philippine tarsier). Its description in RNAcentral is "Metazoan signal recognition particle RNA (ENSTSYG00000036922.1)". The record is from RNAcentral. Lineage: Eukaryota; Metazoa; Chordata; Mammalia; Primates; Tarsiidae.